GUCAGAGAGCUGACAUUAAAAAGCUCUCUGUGGCAGAAGCUUCACUGGAAGUUGCUACGAGGCGCUGCAGGAACCUGGAGGAAGCCAAACUGGGCUUGGAAAAGGAAUUGGGAGAGGCUAAAUCCAAGAACUGAUGGAAAAAGAGAAAAAGGAAAAGCCAACAGAAAGCUUUGUGGAAGAUAAAAGAACACACGUGGAAGUGGCUGCAAAUCCAGUUCACCAUUCAGCUCACAUGGGACAUCCUGGCACCAGUCUGGUUCUGAACAGAAGUCCAAGUCCAGUAGGAAGCAUCCCCAGUUCACCCAUAGGAGCAGAACCAUUGAUGAACAGGAUUUCCUCUUCUGCAGCCAAGGUAAUCAUUUUGAAAUCCCAUCCUCAGCUACUGCUGAAGAGCAUCUGUAUGCAAGUACAAGCAGGAACUGGAUGAAUUUGUCUUUGAAGAACGUGGACAUGGUAAU
Long non-coding RNA from Calypte anna (Anna's hummingbird), 458 nucleotides. RefSeq lists it as uncharacterized. The record is from RefSeq and is a predicted model, not a curated record. NCBI's taxonomy places the organism in Eukaryota, Metazoa, Chordata, Aves, Apodiformes, Trochilidae. The transcript is spliced from 3 exons.